This 372-nucleotide ribosomal RNA is filed under the name Exotela sp. RNAcentral's name for it is "partial 16S ribosomal RNA". Lineage: Eukaryota; Metazoa; Arthropoda; Insecta; Hymenoptera; Braconidae. The record is from RNAcentral.
UUAUUAAUAAGAUCUUUUAAAAAAAAUUAUGCUGUUAUCCCUAAGGUAAUUAAUUUUAUUUUUAAAAUUUAAGAUAUUUUAUUCAAUAAUUAUUGUUUAAUAAAAAAAAAAUUUUUUAAAUUUUUAAAUUACCCCAAUUAAAUAUAUUUUUUUAAUAUAAAUAAAUUAAUAAAGUUUUAUAAUAAAAAAUAUAUAAAAUUCUAUAGGGUCUUGUCGUCUUUUAAAUUUAUUUAAAUUUUUUAAUUUAAAUAAAAAUUUAAAUUUUUAUUUAAUUGAAACAGUUUAUAUUUCAUUUAAUCAUUCAUACUAGUUUUUAAUUAAAAAACAAAUUAUUAUGCUACCUUUGUACAGUUAUAGAUUCUGCAGCCAUUA